RNAcentral lists this ribosomal RNA (423 nucleotides) under uncultured bacterium. RNAcentral's name for it is "partial 16S ribosomal RNA". It matches the Rfam family "Bacterial small subunit ribosomal RNA", at positions 360 to 775 of the family's 1533-position model. The record is from RNAcentral.
AAUUUUGGACAAUGGGGGAAACCCUGAUCCAGCCAUCCCGCGCGUAGGAUGAAGGCCUUCGGGUUGUAAAGUACUUUUGGCAGAGAAGAAAAGGUACCUCCUAAUACGAGGUACUGCUGACGGUAUCUGCAGAAUAAGCACCGGCUAACUACGUGCCAGCAGCCGCGGGAAGACGUAGGGUGCAAUCCUUAAUCGGAAUUACUGUGCGUAAAGCGUGUGUAUGCGUUUCAAAAAGAAAGAUGUGAAAUCCCAGGGCUCAACCUUGGAACUGCAUUUUUAACUGCCGAGCUAGAGUAUGUCAGAGGGGGGUAGAAUUCCACGUGUAGCAGUGAAAUGCGUAGAUAUGUGGAGGAAUACCGAUGGCGAAGGCAGCCCCCUGGGAUAAUACUGACGCUCAGACACGAAAGCGUGGGGAGCAAACAG